GAUGAACGCUAGCUACAGGCUUAACACAUGCAAGUCGCGGGGCAGCAUGGGGGUUGCUUGCAAUCCCCGAUGGCGACCGGCGCACGGGUGAGUAACGCGUAUCCAACCUGCCCUUCACCACGGGAUAACCCGGCGAAAGUCGGACUAAUACCGUAUGUUGUCCAUUGACGGCAUCCGAUUUGGACGAAAGGUUUGGCGGUGAAGGAUGGGGAUGCGUCCGAUUAGCUGGACGGCGGGGUGACGGCCCACCGUGGCGACGAUCGGUAGGGGUUCUGAGAGGAAGGUCCCCCACACUGGAACUGAGACACGGUCCAGACUCCUACGGGAGGCAGCAGUGAGGAAUAUUGGUCAAUGGGCGUAAGCCUGAACCAGCCAAGUAGCGUGCAGGAUGACGGCCCUACGGGUUGUAAACUGCUUUUAUGCGGGGAUAAAGUGGCCCACGUGUGGGUUUUUGCAGGUACCGCAUGAAUAAGGACCGGCUAAUUCCGUG
RNAcentral lists this ribosomal RNA (490 nucleotides) under uncultured bacterium. Its description in RNAcentral is "partial 16S ribosomal RNA". It matches the Rfam family "Bacterial small subunit ribosomal RNA", at positions 28 to 507 of the family's 1533-position model. The record is from RNAcentral.